CCUACGGGUGGCAGCAGUGAGGAAUAUUGGUCAAUGGGCGUAAGCCUGAACCAGCCAAGCCGCGUGAGGGAUGACGGUUCUAUGGAUUGUAAACCUCUUUUAUAAGGGAAUAAAAUCCGGGACGUGUCCCAUUUUGUAUGUACCCUAAGAAUAAGGAUCGGCUAACUCCGUGCCAGCAGCCGCGGUAAUACGGAGGAUCCGAGCGUUAUCCGGAUUUAUUGGGUUUAAAGGGUGCGUAGGCGGCCUUUUAAGUCAGCGGUGAAAUUUCGGGGGUCAACCCGAGAAUUGCCGUUGAAACUGGGGGGCUUGAGUGGGCGUGAGGGAGGCGGAAUGCGUGGUGUAGCGGUGAAAUGCAUAGAUAUCACGCAGAACUCCGAUUGCGAAGGCAGCCUACCGGGCCAUGACUGACGCUGAGGCACGAAAGCGUGGGGAUCGAACAGGAUUAGAUACCCUUGUAGUC
This 460-nucleotide ribosomal RNA is filed under the name uncultured bacterium. Its description in RNAcentral is "partial 16S ribosomal RNA". It matches the Rfam family "Bacterial small subunit ribosomal RNA", at positions 338 to 795 of the family's 1533-position model. The record is from RNAcentral.